Molecule: ribosomal RNA, 323 nt
Filed under: uncultured bacterium
Lineage: Bacteria
Description: bacterial SSU rRNA
Rfam family: Bacterial small subunit ribosomal RNA
Source: RNAcentral
GAUUAACGCUGGCGGCGUGCAUAACACAUGCAAGUCGAACGAUGAAACUUAGUAGACUUCUUCGGAAAGACACUAAGCGGAUUAGUGGCGAACGGGUGAGUAACGCGUGAGUAACCUGCCUUACACAAGGGGAUAGCCUUUGGAAACGAAGAAUAAUACCCUAUAAAACCAUAAAAGCACAUGCUAGAAUGGUCAAAGUGCUAGCGGUGUAAGAUGGACUUGCGUCUGAUUAGCUAGUUGGUAAGGUAACGGCUUACCAAGGCAACGAUACGUAGCCGACCUGAGAGGGUGAUCGGCCACACUGGAACUGAGACACGGUCCAG